RNAcentral lists this ribosomal RNA (2787 nucleotides) under Pseudomonas sp. WS 5146. RNAcentral's name for it is "partial 23S ribosomal RNA". It matches the Rfam family "Bacterial large subunit ribosomal RNA". Lineage: Bacteria; Pseudomonadati; Pseudomonadota; Gammaproteobacteria; Pseudomonadales; Pseudomonadaceae. The record is from RNAcentral.
GUUAUAUGGUCAAGUGAAGAAGCGCAUACGGUGGAUGCCUUGGCAGUCAGAGGCGAUGAAAGACGUGGUAGCCUGCGAAAAGCUUCGGGGAGUCGGCAAACAGACUUUGAUCCGGAGAUGUCUGAAUGGGGGAACCCAGCCAUCAUAAGAUGGUUAUCUUACGCUGAAUACAUAGGCGUAAGAGGCGAACCAGGGGAACUGAAACAUCUAAGUACCCUGAGGAAAAGAAAUCAACCGAGAUUCCCUUAGUAGUGGCGAGCGAACGGGGACUAGCCCUUAAGUGGCUUUGAGAUUAGCGGAACGCUCUGGAAAGUGCGGCCAUAGUGGGUGAUAGCCCUGUACGCGAAAAUCUCUUAGUCAUGAAAUCGAGUAGGACGGAGCACGAGAAACUUUGUCUGAAUAUGGGGGGACCAUCCUCCAAGGCUAAAUACUACUGACUGACCGAUAGUGAACUAGUACCGUGAGGGAAAGGCGAAAAGAACCCCGGAGAGGGGAGUGAAAUAGAUCCUGAAACCGUAUGCGUACAAGCAGUGGGAGCCCACUUUGUUGGGUGACUGCGUACCUUUUGUAUAAUGGGUCAGCGACUUAUUUUCAGUGGCGAGCUUAACCGAAUAGGGGAGGCGUAGCGAAAGCGAGUCUUAAUAGGGCGUCUAGUCGCUGGGAAUAGACCCGAAACCGGGCGAUCUAUCCAUGGGCAGGUUGAAGGUUGGGUAACACUAACUGGAGGACCGAACCGACUACCGUUGAAAAGUUAGCGGAUGACCUGUGGAUCGGAGUGAAAGGCUAAUCAAGCUCGGAGAUAGCUGGUUCUCCUCGAAAGCUAUUUAGGUAGCGCCUCAUGUAUCACUGUAGGGGGUAGAGCACUGUUUCGGCUAGGGGGUCAUCCCGACUUACCAAACCGAUGCAAACUCCGAAUACCUACAAGUGCCGAGCAUGGGAGACACACGGCGGGUGCUAACGUCCGUCGUGAAAAGGGAAACAACCCAGACCGUCAGCUAAGGUCCCAAAGUUAUGGUUAAGUGGGAAACGAUGUGGGAAGGCUUAGACAGCUAGGAGGUUGGCUUAGAAGCAGCCACCCUUUAAAGAAAGCGUAAUAGCUCACUAGUCGAGUCGGCCUGCGCGGAAGAUGUAACGGGGCUCAAACCAUACACCGAAGCUACGGGUAUCACGUAAGUGAUGCGGUAGAGGAGCGUUCUGUAAGCCUGUGAAGGUGAGUUGAGAAGCUUGCUGGAGGUAUCAGAAGUGCGAAUGCUGACAUGAGUAACGACAAUGGGUGUGAAAAACACCCACGCCGAAAGACCAAGGUUUCCUGCGCAACGUUAAUCGACGCAGGGUUAGUCGGUCCCUAAGGCGAGGCUGAAAAGCGUAGUCGAUGGAAAACAGGUUAAUAUUCCUGUACUUCUGGUUAUUGCGAUGGAGGGACGGAGAAGGCUAGGCCAGCUUGGCGUUGGUUGUCCAAGUUUAAGGUGGUAGGCUGGAAUCUUAGGUAAAUCCGGGAUUCUAAGGCCGAGAGCUGAUGACGAGCUAACUUUUAGUUAGCGAAGUGGUUGAUGCCAUGCUUCCAAGAAAAGCUUCUAAGCUUCAGGUAACCAGGAACCGUACCCCAAACCGACACAGGUGGUUGGGUAGAGAAUACCAAGGCGCUUGAGAGAACUCGGGUGAAGGAACUAGGCAAAAUGGCACCGUAACUUCGGGAGAAGGUGCGCCGGUGAGGGUGAAGGACUUGCUCCGUAAGCUCAUGCCGGUCGAAGAUACCAGGCCGCUGCGACUGUUUAUUAAAAACACAGCACUCUGCAAACACGAAAGUGGACGUAUAGGGUGUGACGCCUGCCCGGUGCCGGAAGGUUAAUUGAUGGGGUUAGCUAACGCGAAGCUCUUGAUCGAAGCCCCGGUAAACGGCGGCCGUAACUAUAACGGUCCUAAGGUAGCGAAAUUCCUUGUCGGGUAAGUUCCGACCUGCACGAAUGGCGUAACGAUGGCGGCGCUGUCUCCACCCGAGACUCAGUGAAAUUGAAAUCGCUGUGAAGAUGCAGUGUAUCCGCGGCUAGACGGAAAGACCCCGUGAACCUUUACUAUAGCUUUGCACUGGACUUUGAAUUUGCUUGUGUAGGAUAGGUGGGAGGCUUUGAAGCGUGGACGCCAGUCUGCGUGGAGCCAACCUUGAAAUACCACCCUGGCAACUUUGAGGUUCUAACUCAGGUCCGUUAUCCGGAUCGAGGACAGUGUAUGGUGGGUAGUUUGACUGGGGCGGUCUCCUCCUAAAGAGUAACGGAGGAGUACGAAGGUGCGCUCAGACCGGUCGGAAAUCGGUCGUAGAGUAUAAAGGCAAAAGCGCGCUUGACUGCGAGACAGACACGUCGAGCAGGUACGAAAGUAGGUCUUAGUGAUCCGGUGGUUCUGUAUGGAAGGGCCAUCGCUCAACGGAUAAAAGGUACUCCGGGGAUAACAGGCUGAUACCGCCCAAGAGUUCAUAUCGACGGCGGUGUUUGGCACCUCGAUGUCGGCUCAUCACAUCCUGGGGCUGAAGCCGGUCCCAAGGGUAUGGCUGUUCGCCAUUUAAAGUGGUACGCGAGCUGGGUUUAGAACGUCGUGAGACAGUUCGGUCCCUAUCUGCCGUGGACGUUUGAGAUUUGAGAGGGGCUGCUCCUAGUACGAGAGGACCGGAGUGGACGAACCUCUGGUGUUCCGGUUGUCACGCCAGUGGCAUUGCCGGGUAGCUAUGUUCGGAAUAGAUAACCGCUGAAAGCAUCUAAGCGGGAAACUAGCCUCAAGAUGAGAUCUCACUGG